RNAcentral lists this ribosomal RNA (520 nucleotides) under uncultured bacterium. RNAcentral's name for it is "bacterial SSU rRNA". It matches the Rfam family "Bacterial small subunit ribosomal RNA", at positions 28 to 504 of the family's 1533-position model. The record is from RNAcentral.
GAUGAACGCCGGCGGUGUGCCUAAUACAUGCAAGUCGUACGCACUGGCCCAACUGAUUGAUGGUGCUUGCACCUGAUUGACGAUGGAUCACCAGUGAGUGGCGGACGGGUGAGUAACACGUAGGUAACCUGCCCCGGAGCGGGGGAUAACAUUUGGAAACAGAUGCUAAUACCGCAUAACAACAAAAACCACAUGGCUUUUGUUUGAAAGAUGGCUUUGGCUAUCACUCUGGGAUGGACCUGCGGUGCAUUAGCUAGUUGGUAAGGUAACGGCUUACCAAGGCAAUGAUGCAUAGCCGAGUUGAGAGACUGAUCGGCCACAAUGGAACUGAGACACGGUCCAUACUCCUACGGGAGGCAGCAGUAGGGAAUCUUCCACAAUGGGCGCAAGCCUGAUGGAGCAACACCGCGUGAGUGAAGAAGGGUUUCGGCUCGUAAAGCUCUGUUGUUGGAGAAGAAUAUGCGUGAGAGUAACUGUUCACGCAGUGACGGUAUCCAACCAGAAAGUCACGGCUAACUAC